GCGGAGGUUGCCAAGCCAGGUCAAAGGCGUAGGUCUGUAUCUCCUAUUUCGUAGGAAUUCGCGGGUUCAAAUCCCGUCCUCCGCA
This 85-nucleotide transfer RNA is filed under the name Candidatus Thorarchaeota archaeon. RNAcentral's name for it is "tRNA-Tyr". It matches the Rfam family "tRNA". Rfam says of the family: Transfer RNA (tRNA) molecules are approximately 80 nucleotides in length. Their secondary structure includes four short double-helical elements and three loops (D, anti-codon, and T loops). The record is from RNAcentral. Lineage: Archaea; Promethearchaeati; Candidatus Thorarchaeota.